This 27-nucleotide non-coding RNA is filed under the name Homo sapiens (human). Lineage: Eukaryota; Metazoa; Chordata; Mammalia; Primates; Hominidae. The record is from RNAcentral.
UGCGCCUGAUCUUGGCUUGGUGAGCUC